RNAcentral lists this ribosomal RNA (465 nucleotides) under uncultured bacterium. RNAcentral's name for it is "partial 16S ribosomal RNA". It matches the Rfam family "Bacterial small subunit ribosomal RNA", at positions 28 to 507 of the family's 1533-position model. The record is from RNAcentral.
GACGAACGCUGGCGGCGUGCUUAACACAUGCAAGUCGAACGGAAAGGCCCUGCUUGCUGGGUACUCGAGUGGCGAACGGGUGAGUAACACGUGGGUGAUCUGCACUGCACUUCGGGAUAAGCCUGGGAAACUGGGUCUAAUACCGGAUAGGAGACAUUUUGAGUGUGGUGGUUGGAAAGUUUUUUCGGUGUAGGAUGAGCUCGCGGCCUAUCAGCUUGUUGGUGGGGUAAUGGCCUACCGAGGCGGCGACGGGUAGCCGGCCUGGGAGGGUGGACGGCCACAUUGGGACUGAGAUUGGGCCCAGACUCCUACGGGAGGCAGCAGUGGGGAAUAUUGCACAAGGGGCGCGAGCCUGAUGCAGCGACGCCGCGUGGGGGAUGACGGCCUUCGGGUUGUAAACUCCUUUCGCUAGGGACGAAGCUUUUUGUGACGGUACCUAGAUAAGAAGCACCGGCUAACUACGUG